UGGGGAAUAUUGCACAAUGGGGGAAACCCUGAUGCAGCGACGCCGCGUGAACGAAGAAGGUAUUCGUAUCGUAAAGUUCUGUCCUAUGGGAAGAUAAUGACAGUACCAUAGAAGAAAGCUCCGGCUAAAUACGUGCCAGCAGCCGCGGUAAUACGUAUGGAGCGAGCGUUGUCCGGAAUUAUUGGGCGUAAAGGGUACGCAGGCGGUUUAAUAAGUCGAAUGUUAAAGAUCGGGGCUCAACCCCGUAAAGCAUUGGAAACUGAUAAACUUGAGUGCAGAAGGGGAGAGUGGAAUUCCAUGUGUAGCGGUGAAAUGCGUAGAUAUAUGGAGGAACACCGGUGGCGAAAGCGGCUCUCUGGUCUGUAACUGACGCUGAGGCUCGAAAGCGUGGGGAGCGAACAGG
Molecule: ribosomal RNA, 403 nt
Filed under: Bacteroidota bacterium
Lineage: Bacteria; Pseudomonadati; Bacteroidota
Description: Bacteroidetes bacterium partial 16S ribosomal RNA
Rfam family: Bacterial small subunit ribosomal RNA
Source: RNAcentral